Molecule: long non-coding RNA, 393 nt
Organism: Drosophila grimshawi
Lineage: Eukaryota; Metazoa; Arthropoda; Insecta; Diptera; Drosophilidae
Exons: 3
Source: RefSeq, a predicted model, not a curated record
UUAAUGACAAUUAAAAUCAAAGCCUUUUUUAUGUACGUACACUCAAAAUUCGUUGAAUUUCUUUAAAUGCGUCCGCGGCCUGCGACCGAACGGAUGAACUGCGCCAGAGGUUGUAACUGCGAGUUUCUUGCUCAACGCUCGAACAUCGACAAACAUUAUCAGUCCCAAAUCCGAACUCUGUGCUAUGUGCGCAAUGUAACCCAGAGAGCAGUAAAGUGGUUUUCAGCUACACAAAAAAAAAUGCUAUACCGCUUGCAAAAUGUUCGACAGCAGCCGAUUGACAGAUGGAUUAGUCUGUGUGAAUUGUAUAAACAGCUAGUCGAGUUUCGUUUAUGAUCAGCAAGAGCGCAGUAUAAAAUCGAAUAUGUGGACAAAUUUUUUACCUAUCGGAAG